This 327-nucleotide ribosomal RNA is filed under the name uncultured eukaryote. RNAcentral describes it as "partial 18S ribosomal RNA". It matches the Rfam family "Eukaryotic small subunit ribosomal RNA", at positions 1470 to 1796 of the family's 1831-position model. The record is from RNAcentral.
CCCUUAGAUGUUCUGGGCCGCACGCGCGCUACACUGUCGAAUGCAACGAGCUUAUAACCUUGGCCGAAAGGUCUGGGUAAUCUCCAAAUUUCGUCGUGAUGGGGAUAGAUUAUUGCAAUUAUUAAUCUUCAACGAGGAAUGCCUAGUAAGCGCAAGUCAUCAGCUUGCGUUGAUUACGUCCCUGCCCUUUGUACACACCGCCCGUCGCUCCUACCGAUUGAAUGGUCCGGUGAAGCGUUCGGACCGUGGCCUUUGGACGGUUCGCCGUCUGUUGGCUGCGGGAAGUUCGUUAAACCUUAUCAUUUAGAGGAAGGAGAAGUCGUAACA